RNAcentral lists this ribosomal RNA (462 nucleotides) under uncultured bacterium. Its description in RNAcentral is "partial 16S ribosomal RNA". It matches the Rfam family "Bacterial small subunit ribosomal RNA", at positions 28 to 506 of the family's 1533-position model. The record is from RNAcentral.
GACGAACGCUGGCGGCGUGCUUAACACAUGCCAGUCGAACGGAAAGGCCCUGCUUUUGUGGGGUGCUCGAGUGGCGAACGGGUGAGUAACACGUGAGUAACCUGCCCUUGACUUUGGGAUAACUUCAGGAAACUGGGGCUAAUACCGGAUAGGAGCUCCUGCUGCAUGGUGGGGGUUGGAAAGUUUCGGCGGUUGGGGAUGGACUCGCGGCGUAGUAGCUUGUUGGUGGGGUAGUGGCUUACCAAGGCGUUGACGCCUAGCCGGUCUGAGAGGGUGAGCAGCGACACUGGGAGUGAGACACGGCCCAGACUGCGACGGGAGGCAGCAGUGGGGAAUAGGGGACAAUGGGCGAAAGCCUGAUCCAGCAGGGCCGCGUGAGUGAUGAAGGGCUUAGGGUUGUAAAGCUCUUUUACCCGGGAUGAUAAUGACAGGACCGGGAGAAUAAGCUCCGGCUAACUCCGU